GUGUCAGCAGCCGCGGUAAGACAGAGGGUGCAAACGUUGUUCGGAAUUACUGGGCGUAAAGCGAGUGUAGGCGGUUUGGUAAGUCGGAUGUGAAAGCCCCGGGCUCAACCCGGGAAGUGCACUCGAUACUGCCAAGCUAGAGUAUCGGAGAGGUUGGUGGAAUUCUCGGUGUAGAGGUGAAAUUCGUAGAUAUCGAGAGGAACACCGGUGGCGAAGGCGGCCAACUGGACGAAUACUGACGCUGAGACUCGAAAGCGUGGGGAGCAAACAGGAUUAGAUACCCCCGUAGUCC
Molecule: ribosomal RNA, 292 nt
Filed under: uncultured bacterium
Lineage: Bacteria
Description: partial 16S ribosomal RNA
Rfam family: Bacterial small subunit ribosomal RNA
Source: RNAcentral